GGACAAGGGGAAUCUGACUGUUUAAUUAAAACAAAGCAUUACAAUGGUCCUUGUGGAUGUUGAUGCAAUGUGAUUUCUGCGCAAUGGUGUAAAUGUUAAAGUGAAGAAAUUCAACCAAGCGUGGAUAAGUAGCAGGAGUAACUAUGACUCUCUUAAAGUAACUAAAUGCCUCAUCAUCUAAUUAGUAAUGUCCAUAUGUCAAGCACUUGAUAUGUCC
Molecule: ribosomal RNA, 217 nt
Organism: Selaginella moellendorffii
Lineage: Eukaryota; Viridiplantae; Streptophyta; Lycopodiopsida; Selaginellales; Selaginellaceae
Rfam family: Eukaryotic large subunit ribosomal RNA
Source: Rfam